RNAcentral lists this ribosomal RNA (439 nucleotides) under uncultured bacterium. Its description in RNAcentral is "partial 16S ribosomal RNA". It matches the Rfam family "Bacterial small subunit ribosomal RNA", at positions 339 to 795 of the family's 1533-position model. The record is from RNAcentral.
CUACGGGAGGCACCAGUGAGGAAUAUUGCACAAUGGGGGGAACCCUGAUGCAGCAACGCCGCGUGGAGGAUGACGCAUUUCGGUGUGUAAACUCCUUUUAUAUGUCAAGAAAAUGACGGUAGCAUAUGAAUAAGCACCGGCUAACUCCGUGCCAGCAGCCGCGGUAAUACGGAGGGUGCAAGCGUUACUCGGAAUCACUGGGCGUAAAGGACGCGUAGGCGGGUUGGAAAGUCAGGUGUGAAAUCCUACAGCUUAACUGUAGAACUGCACUUGAAACUUGUAAUCUAGAGUAUGGGAGGGGGAGAUGGAAUUAGUGGUGUAGGGGUAAAAUCCGUAGAUAUCACUAGGAAUACCUAAAGCGAAGGCGAUCUCCUGGAACAUUACCGACGCUAAGGCGUGAAAGCGUGGGGAGCAAACAGGAUUAGAUACCCCUGUAGUC